Molecule: microRNA, 24 nt
Filed under: Equus caballus (horse)
Lineage: Eukaryota; Metazoa; Chordata; Mammalia; Perissodactyla; Equidae
Description: eca-miR-9129
Source: miRBase by way of RNAcentral
UGAGGCUAAACUCUGCUGCCCGGA